RNAcentral lists this transfer RNA (73 nucleotides) under Phycisphaerae bacterium. RNAcentral describes it as "tRNA-Thr". It matches the Rfam family "tRNA". From Rfam's summary of the family: Transfer RNA (tRNA) molecules are approximately 80 nucleotides in length. Their secondary structure includes four short double-helical elements and three loops (D, anti-codon, and T loops). Lineage: Bacteria; Pseudomonadati; Planctomycetota; Phycisphaerae. The record is from RNAcentral.
GCCACCGUAGCUCAGUUGGCAGAGCAGCGGUUUUGUAAACCGCAGGUCGCCGGUUCGAAUCCGGCCGGUGGCU